RNAcentral lists this ribosomal RNA (408 nucleotides) under uncultured bacterium. RNAcentral's name for it is "partial 16S ribosomal RNA". It matches the Rfam family "Bacterial small subunit ribosomal RNA", at positions 28 to 526 of the family's 1533-position model. The record is from RNAcentral.
GACGAACGCUGGCGGCGUGCUUAACACAUGCAAGUCGAACGAAGUGGCGAACGGGUGAGUAACGCGUAAUCAACCUGCCCUUCAGAGGGGGACAACAGUUGGAAACGACUGCUAAUACCGCAUACUGAAGGAGGGGAUUGCGUCUGAUUGGCUAGUUGGAGGGGUAACGGCCCACCAAGGCGAUGAUCAGUAGGCGGUCUGAGAGGAUGGACGGCCAAAUCGGGAACGAGACACGGCCCAAACUCCCACGGGAGGGCGCCGUUGGGAAUCUUCCGAAAUGGACGUAAGUCUGACGGAGCAACGCCGCGUUAGUGAUGGCGGGUUUCGGGUUGUAAAGCUCUUUUAAUCGGGACGCAGUACCGGAACAGAAAGCCACGGCUAACUACGUGCCAGCCGCCGCGGUAAUAC